This 253-nucleotide ribosomal RNA is filed under the name uncultured bacterium. RNAcentral's name for it is "partial 16S ribosomal RNA". It matches the Rfam family "Bacterial small subunit ribosomal RNA", at positions 524 to 776 of the family's 1533-position model. The record is from RNAcentral.
UACGGAGGAUGCAAGCGUUAUCCGGAUUCAUUGGGUUUAAAGGGUGCGCAGGCGGAUUAUUAAGUCAGUGGUGAAAUCUAACGGCUCAACUGUUAAGCUGCCAUUGAUACUGAUAGUCUAGAGUAUAGUUGAAGUGGGCGGAAUGUGUCAUGUAGCGGUGAAAUGCUUAGAUAUGACACAGAACACCGAUCGCGAAGGCAGCUCACUAAGCUAAAACUGACGCUCAUGCACGAAAGCGUGGGGAUCAAACAGG